GACGAACGCUGGCGGCGUGCUUAACACAUGCAAGUCGAACGGAAAGGCCCUGCUUUUGUGGGGUGCUCGAGUGGCGAACGGGUGAGUAACACGUGAGUAACCUGCCCUUGACUUUGGGAUAACUUCAGGAAACUGGGGCUAAUACCGGAUAGGAGCUCCUGCUGCAUGGUGGGGGUUGGAAAGUUUCGGCGGUUGGGGAUGGACUCGCGGCUUAUCAGCUUGUUGGUGGGGUAGUGGCUUACCAAGGCUUUGACGGGUAGCCGGCCUGAGAGGGUGACCGGCCACAUUGGGACUGAGAUACGGCCCAGACUCCUACGGGAGGCAGCAGUGGGGAAUAUUGCACAAUGGGUGGAAGCCUGAUGCAGCAACGCCGCGUGCGGGAUGACGGCCUUCGGGUUGCAAACCGCUUUCGCCUGUGACGAAGCGUGAGUGACGGUAAUGGGUAAAGAAGCACCGGCUAACUACGUG
Molecule: ribosomal RNA, 468 nt
Filed under: uncultured bacterium
Lineage: Bacteria
Description: partial 16S ribosomal RNA
Rfam family: Bacterial small subunit ribosomal RNA
Source: RNAcentral